Molecule: long non-coding RNA, 773 nt
Organism: Eptesicus fuscus (big brown bat)
Lineage: Eukaryota; Metazoa; Chordata; Mammalia; Chiroptera; Vespertilionidae
Exons: 2
Source: RefSeq, a predicted model, not a curated record
AGGGCGACGCGGGGCGCCCCCUGGGGCCCGGCGCGGGCGGGGGCGCGCCCCCUUUACCUGCGGCUCCGGCUCCUCGGCCAUUUCCUCGCUCGGCGGCGGCCGGGACUGAACUGACACCACACGAGCGAGCCGAGAUUAUUUCCUCAGAGAUGCUCCUGGCUACACACAGAGGCGUGAAAACUAAGACCCGCAGUCCUUUACCUCAAUGGACGUCUUCCGGUCCUGGCGUCCAGGGCACGGCCACGGAAUCAGAAAUGUCACUGAUGAGGACACCUGCCACUGGGCUCCUGCCAUCUUAUCAAUCUCCGCCCUUUUUGUCGUUACUGCCUUUCUCAGAAAGGUGAAACCGCGGCCUGCCUGAGGUCCCAGGCCUCAGUGCGUGUCCCGUCUCCCAGACUACACUGAGGCCAGCCCCCGCUCUGUCACCGACCUAAAUGUCCUUCGUUUCUAAAAAUGCACACUGACAUACAUUGCUGGACACCCCAUUUCCUGAACGCUCUCCAGGCGGCGUGUGUGGUCUGGGCCAGGAGGAAGGUCCUCCCCUCGGCCCGUUGCUGGAACAGCGAGAGUCCACUCGGUGUGGCCCGGGUCUGGUCCCCUCCCCCCAGGCCCUCCCUCGCCUUCUUGCUGUACCUGUGGGCUUACCCACCUUCCCCAACAGGCUGCACCUCCUCUUUGAGGGCAGGGGAGAAAGGCUGUGCAAACUCAUGUCCCCAAAGCCAUUAGCAGUGUUUAUUGCAUAGAAGGGGGAGGCAAUAAAUGUUUAAAAACUG